RNAcentral lists this ribosomal RNA (468 nucleotides) under uncultured bacterium. RNAcentral describes it as "partial 16S ribosomal RNA". It matches the Rfam family "Bacterial small subunit ribosomal RNA", at positions 28 to 507 of the family's 1533-position model. The record is from RNAcentral.
GACGAACGCUGGCGGCGUGCUUAACACAUGCAAGUCGAACGGAAAGGCCCUGCUUUUGUGGGGUGCUCGAGUGGCGAACGGGUGAGUAACACGUGAGUAACCUGCCCUUGACUUUGGGAUAACUUCGGGAAACUGGGGCUAAUACCGGAUAGGAGCUCCUGCUGCAUGGUGGGGGUUGGAAAGUUUCGGCGGUUGGGGGUGGACUCGCGGCUUAUCAGCUUGUUGGUGGGGUAGUGGCUUACCAAGGCUUUGACGGGUAGCCGGCCUGAGAGGGUGACCGGCCACAUUGGGACUGAGAUACGGCCCAGACUCCUACGGGAGGCAGCAGUGGGGAAUAUUGCACAAUGGGCGGAAGCCUGAUGCAGCAACGCCGCGUGCGGGAUGACGGCCUUCGGGUUGUAAACCGCUUUCGCCUGUGACGAAGCGUGAGUGACGGUAAUGGGUAAAGAAGCACCGGCUAACUACGUG